GACAGUGGUUGCAACCGUUGUUCGGAAUUACUGGGCAUAAAGCGCACGUAGGCGGUCCGUUAAGUCAUGUGUGAAAUCCCCCGGCUCAACCGGGGAAUUGCGCCUGAUACUGGCGGGCUAGAGAUCGAUAGGGGUGAGUGGAACUCCAGGUGGAGCGGUGAAAUGCGUAGAUAUCUGGAGGAACGCCGGUGGCGAAAGCGACUCACUGGAUCGAUACUGACGCUGAGGUGCGAAAGCUAGGGUAGCAAACGGG
Molecule: ribosomal RNA, 253 nt
Filed under: uncultured bacterium
Lineage: Bacteria
Description: partial 16S ribosomal RNA
Rfam family: Bacterial small subunit ribosomal RNA
Source: RNAcentral